This is a non-coding RNA of Pelobates cultripes (western spadefoot toad), 237 nucleotides long. The record is from the annotation of a GenBank genome assembly. NCBI's taxonomy places the organism in Eukaryota, Metazoa, Chordata, Amphibia, Anura, Pelobatidae.
CUCAGAGCUUAAAAUAUAAUCAAUCUUUAUAUGAUGUAUUUUCUUAGUGUUUAAGAUAUACAUCAAACAGUCCAAAAUUAUAUCACAUGUCAAUUCAGCAUCAUAUUUUUAAUAAAUAAGUGAUCUAUCUGUAUGUGUGCAAUGUUCUUAGUGCAUAUUUUAAGUGCUUGUGUUGCUAUGUAAAUGUUUGUACAGUUUUAGCUUAGAAGAUAGGAAAUGUUAAAGAGAGGGUUUUAU